AUACUGUAAAAAUAUUUUGCCCGGUGAUUUUCUGUAUUGUAUGCUUGUGAAUGGUGCGAAAUAGAAGGAGACGCUGGUCUGUGAAAAGUAGUGAGAGAGGCGCAGCGAGCUGCUGCAGAUGACUGACCGAAGUCCCAAAUGUGUGGGCCAUGGACAACAGAUGUGCAGUGUCCCACUGUGUACCCGGCUUCAAAAAGAAAGAACACCAUCCGAAACCAAGACAACACGGUGAUAUAUGAAUAUUGAUGGUUCCUUUUCACACCAAUGGAGUGACCAAUGAGGCUCACAUUACAGAAGUCAUGUAAGGGGCCUUUGUCCUUCCGCAGCAUCAAGUAUCUUAUACAGGAAACCAUUCACCAGCUCUCCAAGAACCAGUCCGUCCCUUUUCUAUUC
Molecule: long non-coding RNA, 393 nt
Organism: Hyla sarda
Lineage: Eukaryota; Metazoa; Chordata; Amphibia; Anura; Hylidae
Exons: 3
Source: RefSeq, a predicted model, not a curated record